Molecule: long non-coding RNA, 1667 nt
Organism: Polistes canadensis
Lineage: Eukaryota; Metazoa; Arthropoda; Insecta; Hymenoptera; Vespidae
Exons: 2
Source: RefSeq, a predicted model, not a curated record
UUUCUUUUUCAUCGUACGCGUCGCGUCAGGUAGCGAUGCAGCAGCAGCACACACAGAUUAACGGAGGACUGCGAUCGCUUACUCCUCGUCUUCUGUUCCUUCCCUAUUGUCUGUUUUUCUCUCUCUCUCUCUCUCUCUUUCUCACACACACACGCCAACACAUACUCUCUUUCAUUUUUCUGGACUUUGUCUGCGGCAAAGACUCGCGGGUGCAAGGAUUAUUUUCUCAAGGACGUUGAAGUUUAUAAAAGAAAGUUGAAGAAGAGGCCCUAUCUCUACGGAUUUGUUAAAUGAAAGUAAUUGAAAAAAGGGGCGUGCACGCAGAUCGGUUUGCGACGUAGACACAAUACAACCAUAGAUUUAACGCAUAUCUGGCUAGUCCGAGAACAGGUCGGAAAAUAAUCAUCGGCCAGUUCGAAUAUGAGAAAGGAAAAGAUUGUCGACAUCUUUUCUAAACUGGACUGCACUGACAUCAAUGACGAUUCCCAUCGUCGUUUCCGAGCGACAAUAAGCGGCAAACGCCCCAACAACUUUUUCUUCGUAACACCGUAGAAGCGUCGAGCGGCCAUUUUGAACGCGCCACUUUUAAAUCGAAUUACAUCGAAUUUUAUACUUGACGCGCGAUUUUUUUACUUUAGACAAUUAAUUUAUGCUAUUUUAUUUAUGAUUUUAUUGAAAUUAACAUAAGUAUAUACUUAUUUAAUAUCGGUGUAAAAAUGUGAGAUUAAUUUUUCGGUUAUGAUAACAAUAAGAUACAUCAGAUAAUGGAAAAUAAAAACAAAGGGACUUCAAUUCUCUUUCGAAAAUAAAUAGUUUGCUUUACAAAAUUUUAAUACAAUAUUUAUUACACUCGCGUAGAGUACACUCUUAUUAAUAUGCAUAUAAUGGAAAUGAUAUAAACCAAAAAUAAAUUUUGAUAAUUAAGUCUGAUUUACUAAAGUAAUUAAACGAUUAUUUUAUUGCUAUAUUUAAUUGUAGAUAUAUAGAAUUACAACUUUGUACGUGAUAUUUUCGAUCGUGCGUUUUAAGUUUAUACUAUUAUUUUCUUUUUGUUUUUCGUAUAAAAAAUUCGAAAACUUUAAUAUUCUAAAAUGAAUUUUCGUAUAAUGUGAAUUAUUUUCGAUUAAAAAAGUGAAUACUCCGAGUUAAUAUACGUAUGUAUAACGUAAUUUUUGUUAACAAUCGUAGUGCUAAAUUGGUUCCAUUAUAUAAGACGAAGAUAUUGCCAACGACAUGACAAAUGGCAUUGCCUUUAUAUUCCGUCAAUCGCUUUGUUGCAAAAUUGCAAGAGAUCAUUCAAUGUAUAUAUAAUCAAAGUUAUUUUUACAAUUCUUCUUUCUCUUCUUUUUUUUUCUUUCUUUUUAACAGGUACUCUUAUCUUUUUAGUCGAUUUACAAUAAUCAUAAGAAUGAUAAAUUGCAGUUUGGAAGAUUGUCCAAGACCUUAUGUUUCAAUCGGCGCGAUUAACUGUAUAUAUUUAAAAGAAUUAUUAAAGAGAUAAAGAAAUUCAUAUUUUAUAUGCCCAGUCUUAAUUUAGAUUCUAAGGCCACUAUUCGAACAUUGCUCUGCGCGUUAAAAGCACCAUUUCGAUCGACGGAUGUAAAUAUGGAAAGUGCUUUCAAAGCCGAACUCGAAAUAAGAAUACAGAGGCUCUUGGACUAAAUAUC